CAAUACUGAACUCAUAGAAUGAAUUGGGAAGUACUUCCCCUGUGUCUAUCUUCUGGAAGAGACUGUAAAAGCCAUGUGAGGACACCUAGAUGAUGUCAUUUAUGAGGAAAGGGCCUUCAUCAGACUCUGGUCCUGCUGGUGCCUUGAUCUUGGACUUCCUACUCUCCAGAACUGCACAUCAUUAAAAUAUCAACUUUGGCAGAGACGUGGAGCAAGAUGACUGCAUAGAAGUUUCUACUGAUCAUUUCCCACCGCUUCCACGGGAACACCAAGUUUGAUAUCCACACAAAGGGAGCACCUUCAAAGGAAGCAAAAAUCAGGUGAGCACUGACAGUGCCUGGUUUUGAAUUAAUAUUUCUGAAAGAGGCACUGAAGAGGGUAGGCAAAAUAGUCUUAAACUGCUAACAUUAUCCCUCUCCCAUUCCCCAGCAGCAGCUGUGUGGCAUGGAGAAUUUGUGCACUUGGGAGGGAAAGUGCAGUGAUUGUGAUGCUUUGCAUUGAACUUGGUGCUUCCCUGUCACAGUGGAAAGCAGAACCAGACUGUACUUAUCUAACGCUUUCCUACAGAGGGAAUGUGUGGACAGAGCCUAGCCAGAUGGGAAUGGUCCAUCCCAGUGGUCAGAGUUUGAGUUCCAGCAAGCCUAGCUCCUAAGUGCUGAGCUGGUCUCAGAGCCAGUGGACUUGGGGGAUAUGCAACCUACUGAGAUACCAGCAAGGGUGCUAAGGGAAUGCUUGCAUCUUCCCUUUCCCAACCCCAGGCAGCACAGUUCACAGCUGCAAAAGAGACCCCUUCCUUCUACUUGAGGAGAGGAGAGGAAAGAGAAAACUGGACUUUUUCUUGUAUCUUGAAUAAAAACUCAGCCACAGUAGAUUAGAGCACCAUAAGGCCUAUAAGCCCCAUUGCAAGCCCUAGCUCCCAGAUAACAUUUCUAGACACACCCUGGGCCAGAAGGGAACAUACUGCCUUGAAAGAAAGGAUCCAGUACAAGCAGAAUCCAUCACCUCCUGACUAAAGAGCACUUGGGACCUGAAGAAUCUCACAGCAAUACCCAGCUGUGAGACUUGAGUGAGACUCAGAGACAUGCUGGCUUCAGGAAAGAACCAGCACAUUCCCAGCUGUGGAGGCUAUGAGGAGAAACUCCUUCUAUUUGAGAAAAGCAAAGGCAAAAGCAAAGGGGACUUUGUGUUGCAUCUUAGGUACCAGCUCAGCCACAGUAGGGUAGAGCACCAAGCAGGCUCAUCAGGUCCCCAGUUACAGGCCUUGGUUCACGGCAUUUUAGGACCUACCCUGGACCGAGGGGAGACCACUACCAUGAAGAAUGAGUCCCAGGCCUGGCAGCAUUCACCACAAGCUGACUAAAGAUCCUUUGGGCCUCAACUGAACAUUGGCAGUAGGCUGUUAGUACUUCCCAUGGGCUUAUGAUGGUGGAGCCUACGGGGUGAGGCUCCUUUGCCUUUAGAAAGGGAGGGAAGAAUGGGGAGGACUCCAUUUUGUGGUUUGAGUACCAGCUCAGCUCCAGGGGAACAGAAUGCAAGGUAGAUUUUUAAAGUUUUUUCUCCAGUACCUGGCUCCUAGAUGGCAUCUCUAGACCCACCCACGACCUGGGGGAACUUGCUACCCUGAAGGGAAGAACACAAUACUGGCUGGCUUUACUACCUGCUGAUUGUAGAGACCCAGAACCUUGAACAAACAUAGGUAGUAGCCUAGUAGUGGUCACGUUGAGCGUUGGGCAAGACCUAGAGCUGUGCUGACUUCAGUUCUGAUUCAGCAGUGUCCCAGGGGAGGUGGCUACAAAGGUGCUUGUGUUAUGUCAUCCCCAGCUCCAGGAAGCUCAGCAUACAAAGAGAAACUCCAUUGGUUUUGGAGAAAGUAAGGAAAGAGAACAAGAGUCUCUGCCUGGUAAUCCAGAUAAUUCUUCCAGAUCUUAUCCAAGACCACUUAAGUGGUACUUCUGUGAGUCUACAAGGACCACAGUAUUGCUGGGCUUGGGGUGCCACUUAAUGCAUAUACAGUUUAGAUCACAACACCCAAGUCCUUCUGAAUACUUAAGAAGCCUUCCCAAGGAGAAAGGGUACAAAGAAGCCCAGAUGGCGAUGACUAUAAUAAGUACCUAACUCUUCAAUGCUCAGACACCAAAGAACUUCCGCAAGCAUCAAGAACAUUCAGGGAAUAUGAUCUAACCAAAUAGAGUAAAUAAGGCACAAGGAACCAAUCCUGGAGAAACAGAGACACGUGACAUU
RNAcentral lists this long non-coding RNA (2241 nucleotides) under Homo sapiens (human). Its description in RNAcentral is "HSALNT0337489". The record is from RNAcentral. Lineage: Eukaryota; Metazoa; Chordata; Mammalia; Primates; Hominidae.